GACGAACGCUGGCGGCGUGCUUAACACAUGCAAGUCGAACGGAAAGGCCCUGCUUUUGUGGGGUGCUCGAGUGGCGAACGGGUGAGUAACACGUGAGUAACCUGCCCUUGACUUUGGGAUAACUUCAGGAAACUGGGGCUAAUACCGGAUAGGAGCUCCUGCUGCAUGGUGGGGGUUGGAAAGUUUCGGCGGUUGGGGAUGGACUCGCGGCUUAUCAGCUUGUUGGUGGGGUAGUGGCUUACCAAGGCUUUGACGGGUAGCCGGCCUGAGAGGGUGACCGGCCACAUUGGGACUGAGAUACGGCACAGACUCCUACGGGAGGCAGCAGUGGGGAAUAUUGCACAAUGGGCGGAAGCCUGAUGCAGCAACGCCGCGUGCGGGAUGACGGCCUUCGGGUUGUACACCGCUUUCGCCUGUGACGAAGCGUGAGUGACGGUAAUGGGUAAAGAAGCACCGGCUAACUACGUG
This 468-nucleotide ribosomal RNA is filed under the name uncultured bacterium. RNAcentral's name for it is "partial 16S ribosomal RNA". It matches the Rfam family "Bacterial small subunit ribosomal RNA", at positions 28 to 507 of the family's 1533-position model. The record is from RNAcentral.